RNAcentral lists this ribosomal RNA (292 nucleotides) under uncultured Actinospica sp. Its description in RNAcentral is "partial 16S ribosomal RNA". It matches the Rfam family "Bacterial small subunit ribosomal RNA", at positions 505 to 796 of the family's 1533-position model. Lineage: Bacteria; Bacillati; Actinomycetota; Actinomycetes; Catenulisporales; Actinospicaceae. The record is from RNAcentral.
GUGUCAGCAGCCGCGGUAAUACGUAUGUCACAAGCGUUAUCCGGAUUUAUUGGGCGUAAAGGGCUCGUAGGCGGCCUGUCGCGUCGGAAGUGAAAGCCCACUGCUUAACGGUGGGUCUGCUUCCGGUACGGGCAGGCUGGAGUAUGGCAGGGGAGACUGGAAUUCCUGGUGUAGCGGUGGAAUGCGCAGAUAUCAGGAGGAACACCGGUGGCGAAGGCGGGUCUCUGGGCCAUUACUGACGCUGAGGAGCGAAAGCGUGGGGAGCGAACAGGAUUAGAUACCCCCGUAGUCC